Molecule: long non-coding RNA, 857 nt
Filed under: Panicum hallii
Lineage: Eukaryota; Viridiplantae; Streptophyta; Magnoliopsida; Poales; Poaceae
Description: long non-coding RNA (PHAL_LNC000029)
Source: RNAcentral
AAACCGGGUUUGUAUUUCAUAUAGAGUUAUGAUAGUUUACAUCCCACAUCUUACAAAGACCCUCUUAAAAAAAUAUAAAUUACACACAAGUCCUUGCAAGACAAUCCCGGUUGUCCUCGUCGUUGACAAUCGGAUCAAGCUCGUUGAGGCCGACUACCCUCCCGACGAAGGAACAUCAAAAAUUUUCAUUGGCACCAAAGGAAUAGCACAUCAGAAACUCCAAUAUGCUUUGUAACCGCUGAACGCUCAGGCUCGAGAAGAUGGCUGGAGGCCAUCGCUUCGUCAGACAACAAGGUAUCUGACGUCACAACCAUCAGCAUCCUCCGCUCACCGUGCAACGAUUCACCAUGAAAGGGGAGGCAAACCACCAGAAUAGGUGGUAGUUAAGACCCAACCCGGUUUUGAAACGAGCUGGUAGAACCUGUUGGAGCCACCGCCCAGGCCGCCGGAGUAAAGGAUGGCGCCACCUCCUUCGGUCCAAAGACGGAGCCCACCAGGAAGUCCGCAGUCGGCGGCAGCGCCACCAGCCCGGAAGGGAAAGCUCACAUGGAAGCACAAAAGAUCCUUCCCCAAUACAAAUAGGAAAGCCAGAACUAACCUCGUGCAGAUCUUGCCGGAGACGCCGCCACCGAUGCCAUCAUCACUAGGGAUACGCAAAGGUAACCUAACUCUAGCCGGAGAAAUAGAGACGUCGGCAGGACAAAGGAGCUACUAAACCUAAGCCUAAAGCCAUACUGGGCCCUCCCGCCAAGGAGCCAGGCACCCCUCUUAGCUCCAUCGCCGGCAAGGAUGCCGGAGGAGAGGGGGCCGGCGGAUCAACGGACAGAAGAGUGAGUCACCCUCGAAAUCGCCUUGUG